This is a long non-coding RNA of Columba livia (rock pigeon), 378 nucleotides long. RefSeq lists it as uncharacterized. The record is from RefSeq and is a predicted model, not a curated record. The transcript is spliced from 3 exons. Lineage: Eukaryota; Metazoa; Chordata; Aves; Columbiformes; Columbidae.
CAAAGCCUGGCCUGGGGAUGACCUAACUGAAUAAUACAUCUGCUGGCCGAUUCAAAACAUGGAAUCAGACAUAAGGUGCAGUCUCAAAAGGACCAUAGACAGGUAUAAGUGUUUACAUCCUCUGUGAUGCCAUGAUUCUCCAUAGAUUGUAUCAAAAUACACUUAUUUCUGAUGUCAAAACUAAACCUCUUGGUGAACUUCAGCGUGCUUACUCCUGCACCCAGUUCAGGUUCAGCCACAAUCACAAUCCAAAGAAAGGGCUCUGUGCAGCAAUGGGGGCACUCUGGAGACACGUACCUGUGACUGCGCAUCCCGCGCCUGAGAAUACUAAUGGAGGGUAGCGAUCCUUUGAGUCUACCUCCUUCUUUGCUAGUAAAA